AUGGAUUAGAUUAAAUUAGAGUAAUUAUUUUAUGAAAUUACAGACAUCAGCAUAGCCAUAUAUUAUUAUUGUACAAGCCCAAUUUUGCCCUGCCCAAAAAUAAGCCCAAACAACCCACUAGGCCCAAAUACCCAUUGCAACUCGAGCCCAAGUACCCAAACCCCAAAUCUGACCCAAACCAAUUUUUCAAACUAGAGUUUCAUCUUUUCUGAAACCCUAGUACUGCCGCCGCACCUAGCUAGCCUUCAGCCACCUUUGACUAGCGCCGCACCUGCCCACUGCCACGGUCACGUCGCCGCCCCACUUGCGCCGUCACUUGCAAGACACGCAAACAACAAAAACACAAGAGAAAUAGAAAAAAUAACAUGUAAUUUAGGCCAUAAAAGCCGAGUAUCUCCACCAAAAAAGGGGGGUUUUUUGUGUUUUUGGAACAUUUUCACAAAAAUAAAAAGCAAAAAAAUUUAAAGGUGAUUUCUAGUGUUCUAUUUCUUUCGGUUUUUUUUAGAUGUUUUAACUUUUUUUUGUUUAUUUAUUCGCAUAUAUAUAUGACAUAAAGAAAAAAAAGGGAAACUCACCGGGACAAGGCUUUGAACGCCCGUUCUGGCGCUUCGUCGGCCGUCAGAUACGGUGGUGGUGUGACGAGUAGAGAGGCGACGCGAUAGGGGCCUUAGAACCCCAAAGGCAGGAUGUUGAGAGGAAAAAGGGAGGGGUUCUGAAUUUUUUUAAAAAAAAUGGUGGCUGUAUAGAUUUUUCAAAAAAAAAAUUCACUUAAAUACCCUAAAUGAAACAGCGCCGUUUUGCCAUUAGGGUCAAGUGCCAAAAUGAUGCCAUUUUGGCCCUGACCAGCGCGGUGACCCGACCCUAAGGGGAGGAUCCGCGUGUUUUCUUAAAGGGAGAUAUUUGCACGCGCAGUCCCUCCGACUUUGCAACGCAUUGCAAUUUGGCCAUUUUUUCGUUAUUUUCUUUUAUUUUAAAUUAGCUGCAUAAUUUUACUUUUGUUUCAUUUUAAUCCGUUGCAGCGCUGUGUUUUAGGGCUUUGGUUUAUUUACCAUUUUGGUCCCCCUCUUUCGGCGUUUGUAGCAAUUUAAUCCUUUUCAUUUUUUUAUUUCGAAUUCGCCCAUUAUUUUCAUUUUUAUUUCGAUUUAGUCAGUUUUUUUAGUAAUUUUAUUAUUUAGUUAAUUAUUUUAAUGUUCUUAUUAUUGCCAUCAUUAUUAUUAUUAUUAUUAUUAGUUUUAUUUUCCUUUAUUUAGUCGUUAC
RNAcentral lists this long non-coding RNA (1257 nucleotides) under Gossypium barbadense (sea-island cotton). RNAcentral's name for it is "long non-coding RNA (GBAR_LNC021244)". The record is from RNAcentral. Lineage: Eukaryota; Viridiplantae; Streptophyta; Magnoliopsida; Malvales; Malvaceae.